This 21-nucleotide microRNA is filed under the name Gallus gallus (chicken). RNAcentral's name for it is "gga-miR-6685-5p". The record is from miRBase by way of RNAcentral. Lineage: Eukaryota; Metazoa; Chordata; Aves; Galliformes; Phasianidae.
CAGCAAUGCACGUGUACUCAG